Molecule: long non-coding RNA, 1369 nt
Organism: Xenopus laevis (African clawed frog)
Lineage: Eukaryota; Metazoa; Chordata; Amphibia; Anura; Pipidae
Exons: 3
Source: RefSeq, a predicted model, not a curated record
GAUGGAUUCUUCUGUGUUUGCUACAGCUCUUCUAUGGACUCCUGCAUUUUUUUUGCAGCCCAAAUAGGUGUUACAUGUAUAUAGAGGGUUUGUAGGUCUGAUGUAAGAUCUAGGUGGGACCAGUGUGAUAAUUGUUUUUACAUAACUGAGCAUCCCAAAUAACUCAAUACCAGAUUGAUACACAUCGUUUUUUGUUUUUUUCAGUUUUUAACUAAAUUUUCCCAUAUGUUAUAAUUUUAAUCAAGCCAUUAAAUGCUACGUUUUGUUCAAGUCCAAUUUUUGGUAUUAGUGGAUUUAGAACUGAUCAGUGGCGUAACUACCGGGGGAGCAGGCGGUGCAGUUGCACCACGGCCCGCUCCCCUCGGGGCCCGCCCAGAAUUUUCCGCCUCCACUGACUUUUUUUUAGUUUUUUUUUUACAAUGUUUUUUUGGCUGGGUGGGCGGGCUUGCGGGCUCCCUCCAUCCCUCAUCCAAUCCACUUUGCACCACCACCCCCCUAGCCGUUGAAGUGGUGAGGGAAAGGAGAUCGGAAGCUUCUUGAAGCUGGGCCUGCAGGGUACAGUGCAGCACAACCUUAAACCCGCGCUGGAACAGCUACGGGCAGAGAACGAGAAGCUGAAAAACUGCAUCUUGCACCUACAGCGGAGGCGGAGCCUGAGGGAGGAGCCGGAGAGGGCCAGGCCCGGGCAGGGCGGAAGGGAGUGCGGGGCGGGCUCUAGUACUGAGCGUGAAGGAACAACACAAGCAGCAGAACCGUGAAGGGAAAGAGAAGCGUUAGGUGACUAUAGGGGAGUGGAAUCUCCUGACGAGAAACAUACCUUCAUCUAUGUGCCUGGACUGGUUGAUUUACCUAAAACCGCAAAUACUGAAAUAAUAGCCGAAGCGGUUAAGGCUGGGGAAAAGAUACCUCAAAGCGAUGAAAAAGAAAAUAAUCCCAGUCCUGUGAAUAUUGAAGUGUCACAUGAGCAGAUUACUGAGCCGCAGGUCACUGAGCCAAAGGAGGGGCUUCAAGAAAAUGACGCAGUUGACACCAAAAAAGAAAAGAAAAAGAAACGUCGACUUUUCUCUUUUUCAAAGAAAAAAGUUAAAGAAGCCGAUGAAAAGCAAAAGAAUGCAGAGGAAGAAAAAAAUCCCAUUCCUGAUAUAAAAGACAAUGAGGCUGAAAUAGAUCUAGAGAAAGGAAAAGUAGAAGAAGUUGAAGAAAAGAAGAAAAAUGAUGGCGAUUUUUUGCUUUUUUAAACAAAAAGAAGAAAACGGAACAGAAAAGUUAGAGGUCUAAAGGAUACGGCACAUGGCAAUUUGUAUUCAUCAUAUCUUUCCAAGUUUGUAAUAAUGUGAACAUGAAAUAAAAAUAACAUUUAUAAAAAAAA